Oreochromis niloticus (Nile tilapia) is the source of this 82-nucleotide non-coding RNA. Lineage: Eukaryota; Metazoa; Chordata; Actinopteri; Cichliformes; Cichlidae. The record is from Rfam.
GGUAGCGUGGCCGAUUGGUCUAAGGAGUUGGAUUAAGGCUCCAGUCUCUUCGGGGUCGUGGGUUCAAAUUCCACUGCUGCCA